AUGAAAUUGGUCACGGGUGGCCAGACUAUGAUCUCAGUGAACGGGGAGAUUGGGAGUUUCUUCCGGAGCAGGCGGGGAUUGCAUCAGGGCGACCCCAUGUCACUGCUCUUGUUCAAUUUUGUGGUCGACGCCCUUGCGGCUUUGCUGCGAAAGGCGACCACGGCUGACCACUCGGGAGUGGUCGGCCACCUCAUCCCAGGGGGAUUUCACACCUUCAGUACGCAGACGACACCAUGCUACUGUUUCAGCUGGACGCUCACAAUAUUGCAACGGUAA
Molecule: ribosomal RNA, 276 nt
Filed under: Triticum aestivum (bread wheat)
Lineage: Eukaryota; Viridiplantae; Streptophyta; Magnoliopsida; Poales; Poaceae
Description: partial small subunit ribosomal RNA
Source: RNAcentral